UUUGGCUUAUCCUAACCAUUGAUUUAUCCUAAUCAUAUGUUUAGAUAAAAUAGUUCAGGUUCAUAUCUAUGCUCAGUUUGAAAUUAAAUAUGGGAUGUGCUUUUUGAAUCUGAAUAGUUUCAGCCUGUAGGCUUUACUUGUGCUUUUGAAUCUGCAGUAUUUUCAGCUUGUUUUGGUUAUAUGCUUGGACAGACUCAAGUUUGUAUUUAUGUGUGGUAGCAAAUAAACAAGAGAAGCAUUUGUCCUACCAUACACAAAAUCAAUGAGAUGCACCGUUAGUUUUCAAUUUCGCUUGUGCAUUUCUUGUGUCUUAUCUUAUAGUCGUCGUUGCUAUAUGCUUUAUUCAGAACAGGUUUUUAUCAUGCUUUAUACUCUGGUUGGUCUGGUUGCUGCUCUGGACAUGAACCUUACAGGCUGAAACAUGGCACAAUCCGCCACCGCACCCAACGACCACCAUCAUCUGUUCAAGCACCCGUACCAUGGCGAUGCAUGGGCUGCUCAGUCGUGCAACUCGCUCACAGCCGGGCGAUGGCUUACUCCAACGAUUUCUUGUGGGAGGCCGCCCCCGUUCGAGCUCCAACAACCAGCAUGUUCCAACCGAGGUAUACAAAAUUGAUUAGGUGGCGACCCGAUGUCCCCUAUUAGCUGUUGUACCUACUGCUAAAUUAACCAUUCACGGCAACACGAUGAUGUGUUUGAUCUUCGAUUGAUUCUUCACUCUGAAACCGGGGUUAGGCUUGUCCCCUGUUAAGUGUGUGGUUGUACCUUCUUCUAAAUUAAUCAUGGACUUUCAUUCGCUCUAUUAUAUUCUCCAAAUGAAAACGAAUAGAUAAAGUCCAAAUGGUCGUAGAACUCUGGGAUAAACCUUAAUUGGGUCAUAUGUGAAUUUGGCCACCAGUCAUUUAGUUAGUUUUCUGCAUUCACUUGGAUUAUGAUAAGUUUAGCUCAGAAGUGUGGCCACUUCCCCAUUUGUUUUUUUGAUUGAAUAACUUGUAUCUGAUUUUUUAGACAAGAUCAUACUACUCUUGAUUAUUUGCUUUGUGUUUUUGAUUGAGACAGGCUAUGGGAACCAACACUAUUUAGCUUAUAGGAUCUCUGUUUCAAAUGACUCUAUGCGGCCUUAGCGACAGUGGCUUGUACAGGAUAGGAUGUUGAGGACUCCUGCUAGCAGUGGCGGAGCUAUGUAGGGGCAAAACAGUGCCAUGGCCCGCCCAGCUUAGAACGAAAACAAUGCAAAGUAUGAGCCUAACUGGGCUAUUUCUGAAUUUUUUGGGUGGUAUUCUUCAGAUUGGCCCGCCCUGCUCUUAGUUUGUAGCUCCGCCACUGCCUGCUAGAGAGCUCAUCGACGACUGCAACAAGUAGUCCCAUGGGAAAAUUAAGCUCCUUCUUUUAGUGAUGUUAGCGGUUGUUCGACGUAUUUUAUCUCAUUGCAGCCGGCUAGGCAACUGCAUUCUUCACUCCAGUUAAUCACAUAUGUCUGUUUUUGUGUAGGUUUCACUAGAUUUAAAUUUCAGUUUUGUCUGCGCUGAGCUGUAGGUUGUUUGAUUAUUGUAUCAAGUGGAAACGAACUUCUCAUGGAUCUCCUGAAAUUUUGCUAGACAAUGGUUAAUCUACUAUACACUUCAAAUAUAGUCAUGGAUAUCUGAACUAGAAAGUGCACUGUAGUUUAUUAUAUGCUGAAUAUCAUGCACAAUCCUCUACAUUUUGAAUAUUUGGAUAAGAAGUAGGAUGUUCUUCCCUUGCUUGCCACUUCUUUUGCAUCCUUUUGGCAACCUUGCAGCCAAGUCACUCUGCAGCUCUACAGGCUACAGUUAACUGCAUUCUCAACCUUAUCAUUCAGUUUGCACAUGUGUGCAACUUUGAACGAUUAGUAAGAUGGACCAAUAAGAAAGUGAGCUACAAGGUGUUACUUUGUAGCAGAUGAACACAUACAUUUGAAUAGGUUUAUGUACAAGGACUACUUUAUACUCUGGUUGGUCUGGUUGCUGCUCUGGACAUGAACCUCCUGUUUGCUUGAGUUUCGAAUCUAAUGGGAAGAGAAACUAGCAAUGCAUAGCGGAAUUAAAGUAUGGAGAACCCCGUUUAGCUUGAGGUAAUAAUAAGCUGCCGUAUUUGAUAAAUUUGCUUGCUUUGUCGUCUUACUUCCUAUAGGUGUUAAAUAGGGUUUUCUUGAGAUGUGAUUUUAGGAAAUAGUUUGUACGCACAUGUUUUGCUUUCCCUGUUACCAUCUUGCUUUCCCUGCUGCUCACUUUCUUUUUAAAUAGUGUCAUUGUCUUUGCUUCAUCACCGUAGAUGCUAGCUAAAUUAUUAUGAGUUGCUACUACAGCAGAACUAAAUUAGUCCUUUUUUCAUGUUCUCUUAGGUUAUGCAGGUAGUAAAGGAGCAACAUGUAUUUUUAAAGGUUAUGUGUGGACCCAUGUAUUUUGUGUGUGGGUAGUGCUGUUUUUUGGUUGAUGGCUUUAGGUUCUAGAUGCUUAAUUAGCUUGGUAUUUCCAUUGGUUAAUCCUGUUGUCGAUUAUUUUUUGCCGGCCUUGCCUUCAGCUUUGUGGGUGCUGUAGUUUUGCCUAAUCUAUUGACUCUCACCGAUCAUCAGGUAGGGGUGUAUUGUCCACUCUCAGGUACCAACCUUUACUUUAUACCAACCUAUCAUCUCUUCUGCUGGGUUCCAUGUAUUGAUACUGUUACUUUGCUACAUGUUUCUCUGCUUUUAGUUGUGCAAUCUGAAAUAUGGUUCUUGGACUGUUUCAUGUAAGGCACCGGAUUUUCUAUAAGUCCGCAGACGGCAAGAGCAUGCAUGUGCUUGCUCUGUUACAGGGCGAAAAGUUUAGAUUUCAUGGUUCAUAAGACAAAAUGGCAAUAUUUAGGACCAGAUCACAAUACAACUAUGAUACAAGAUCUCAUGGUCAUGUAUUAGCUGGUAGUAACGUCAUGUUCUUUUGAGUCUGACAAAGCCUUUAUUUUUUGAAAAUGGUUUCAAUAGACAUACAAUUAGGCUGCCGGCUAGAGAAAAGACUGAAUAAUGGCCCACAUUAGACGUACUAUCAGUCCUCAAAUGGCCAUGUGCUCUGCUUCUUUUUACUGUUGAGUCUUUUAACAAUCGAUCUCUUUCUUUGGUUAUCUUCCUUACAAAAAAGCAGCUUAGAGACCUACUGGCUGCUCUGGAUCAAGAUUAUAAGUAGAUUUCGUAUAUUUGAACAAUAGACAGAGGUUUUCUAUAUGCAUAUGCAUUUAUUGUAUAAUUCAGUUCCGCCACGACAUUUUUACUACCUACUUGAAUUUCCCCUAUACCAGAUAUUAACGUUUGAAAUUAGUGACAUCUACUCUAUAAAUAUCCAUAGGUUGUGGCAUAGACAUGUUUACAUCGACAAUCUUUUCUAUGAGAUAUCUGGUGGCCUUUUGUGUAGUUCAAUGUAUCCAUUUAUCAUUCCAUUGCUUUCUUGAUUCAACAGUAACAAUAAAGGACCGCUAAAUUGUACUUCGUAGAGAAAGGGAUGGCGCACACCUAGGUUUUAUAGGCUAAAGAGUAUCGGUAGUCUGACCGCACAACAUUGUUUUUACACUCAGUAAUCUUUAAUGGUUUAUUAACACUAGCUAAUCCAAAGUAGAUGUUUGUUAUUGGUUCCCUUUUCCUUACUUAUCCACAGGAUAAUGUUCUUCAUUUGUAUCUGUUCUGUAGAACCAUCAAAUUCAAGUCAUCUUUGAGUACACGACAGCUUCUGAAGUUCGUGCCAUCAUGCUUUAGUUUCCCACAUGGGCUGAGAUGAUGCAAAUAAAAAGACGGUCUCGGGCACAAGAGCAUGAUGUGCUUGCACCAUUUGCUUUUACACCAAGGCCACGCGGUUGAUCAUCUAAGUGCACCUAUGAAGUUGACCGACAAGGCAGUUGGACGGAGCUGCUAAUUAGUAUUCCUAAUAGCUAUGGCUUUGUAGUUUGACCGCCUCUACCGUCACUAUGCCUGGCUUUUGCUUUCUUAUUAUGUUCCUGCUAUUAGUACUUCCUCUCUCGUGUUUAUGCUCUUAGUAUUGAACUUAAUGUCGUAGUUAUUAGCUUUUGUGGUCUAAUGAAUUCACUGAGUGUUUAUAAUCUCAUGAGGAUGUUGAACUUGAUAAUAUCUUGCUUUGUUGUCUUGUUGAA
Triticum urartu is the source of this 4134-nucleotide non-coding RNA. The record is from RefSeq and is a predicted model, not a curated record. Lineage: Eukaryota; Viridiplantae; Streptophyta; Magnoliopsida; Poales; Poaceae.